AAUUUGUGGUGCAGACAUUUUUGAAUCAACAUUUUGAACUUUUCCCAUGCCUCAUAGAAGGUUUCACCAUUCAUCUAUCUAAAAAUAACAAUCUCUCUUCUUAGUU
Molecule: non-coding RNA, 106 nt
Organism: Gossypium arboreum
Lineage: Eukaryota; Viridiplantae; Streptophyta; Magnoliopsida; Malvales; Malvaceae
Source: Rfam